This 460-nucleotide ribosomal RNA is filed under the name uncultured bacterium. Its description in RNAcentral is "partial 16S ribosomal RNA". It matches the Rfam family "Bacterial small subunit ribosomal RNA", at positions 338 to 795 of the family's 1533-position model. The record is from RNAcentral.
CCUACGGGAGGCAGCAGUGAGGAAUAUUGUUCAAUGGGCGCGAGCCUGAACCAGCCAAGUAGCGUGAAGGAUGAAUGCCCUACGGUUUGUAAACUUCUUUUAUAGAGGAAUAAAGUUAUGCACGUGUGCAUAUUUGUAUGUACUUUAUGAAUAAGCAUCGGCUAACUCCGUGCCAGCAGCCGCGGUAAUACGGAGGAUCCGAGCGUUAUCCGGAUUUAUUGGGUUUAAAGGGAGCGUAGGUGGGUUGUUAAGUCAGUUGUGAAAGUUUGCGGCUCAACCGUAAAAUUGCAAUUGAUACUGGCAGACUUGAGUACAGUUGAGGUAGGCGGAAUUCGUGGUGUAGCGGUGAAAUGCGUAGAUAUCACGAAGAACUCCGAUUGCGAAGGCAGCUUACUAAGCUGCCACUGACAUUGAUGCUCGAAAGUGUGGGUAUCAAACAGGAUUAGAUACCCGGGUAGUC